RNAcentral lists this transfer RNA (64 nucleotides) under Astacus astacus (noble crayfish). RNAcentral describes it as "tRNA-Ile". Lineage: Eukaryota; Metazoa; Arthropoda; Malacostraca; Decapoda; Astacidae. The record is from RNAcentral.
AAUAUGGUGCCUGAUUAAAGGGUAGUUUUGAUAGGACUAAUUAUGUAUGAAUGUACUCAUAUUA